RNAcentral lists this long non-coding RNA (657 nucleotides) under Triticum aestivum (bread wheat). Its description in RNAcentral is "long non-coding RNA (TAES_LNC009586)". The record is from RNAcentral. Lineage: Eukaryota; Viridiplantae; Streptophyta; Magnoliopsida; Poales; Poaceae.
GAGCAAAAUCUGCUUCUGCUGCAUUAAAGUACAAUGCCAUCUCUCAGCAGGCAAAUGGUAAAGGUUCUUCUACCUCCCUAGGCAGGAAAGAAGCAGUCGGUACUUUAGCCGCCGCACACUAUGUCGCCGCCGAGAAGUCCAUCAAGAAGGCCGAAACCGCCAAGACACCUGCAAAGGCCGUGGCUGCCAAGCGAGACGCGGCAAAGUCUGUUGACGAUGCAUUAAAGAAUGGUGCCAUCUCUCAGAAAACAGCUGGUACAAGUUCUUCUACCUCCCCCAAUAGGAAAGAAGGCACCACUGCUGCUGCUAAGAUGUUCACCAAGAAGGCUGAAACCGCUACCACACCUGAAGAGGUCGCGGCUGCCAAGCGAGCUGCAGCCAAGUCUACCGCUGCUGCAUCAAAGUAUGGUGUCAUUUCUCAGCAAGCGCCUGGUACAAGUUCUUCUACCUCCCCUAGCAGGAAAGAAGUUGCCGGUACCUUGGCAGAUGCUCGCAUAGCUGCUGCCGAGAAGUCCAUCAAGAAGGCUGAAACCGCCACCAGACCUAAAGAGGCAGCAAAGAAGGAUGCCGCGAAAUCUGAGGCUGAUGCAAUGAAGUACGGGGCCCUCUCUCAGCAGGCCGCCGGCAAAAAUGGUGCCUAAGUGGUGCCUUAAACAC